CCUACGGGAGGCAGCAGUGGGGAAUAUUGCUCAAUGGGGGGAACCCUGAUGCAGCGACGCCGCGUGAAGGAAGAAGUUUUUCAGUAUUUAAACUUCUAUCAGCAGGGAAGAAAAUUACGGCACCUGACUCAGAAGGCGCGGCCUACUACGUGCCAGCUGCCGGGGUUAUACGUCGGGGGCAAGCGUUAUCCGGAUUUACUGGGCGUUAAGGGAGCGUAGGGGGUUUAGUAGGUCCGGAGUGAAAGGCUUGGGGUCAACUCCGGGACUGCGUUUGAAACUGGUUGACUAGAUUGCAGGAGAGGUAUGUGGAAUGCCUAGUGUAGCGGUGAAAUGCUUAGAUAUUGGGAGGAACACCGGUGGCGAAGGCAGCAUACUGG
RNAcentral lists this ribosomal RNA (377 nucleotides) under uncultured bacterium. RNAcentral's name for it is "partial 16S ribosomal RNA". It matches the Rfam family "Bacterial small subunit ribosomal RNA", at positions 338 to 732 of the family's 1533-position model. The record is from RNAcentral.